AGCGAACGCUGGCGGCAGGCUUAACACAUGCAAGUCGAACGGGCGUAGCAAUACGUCAGUGGCAGACGGGUGAGUAACACGUGGGAACGUACCUUUUGGUUCGGAACAACACAGGGAAACUUGUGCUAAUACCGAAUAAGCCCUUACGGGGAAAGAUUUAUCGCCGAAAGAUCGGCCCGCGUCUGAUUAGCUAGUUGGUGAGGUAAUGGCUCACCAAGGCGACGAUCAGUAGCUGGUCUGAGAGGAUGAUCAGCCACACUGGGACUGAGACACGGCCCAGACUCCUACGGGAGGCAGCAGUGGGGAAUAUUGGACAAUGGGCGAAAGCCUGAUCCAGCCAUGCCGCGUGAGUGAUGAAGGCCCUAGGGUUGUAAAGCUCUUUUGUGCGGGAAGAUAAUGACGGUACCGCAAGAAUAAGCCCCGGCUAACUUCGUG
Molecule: ribosomal RNA, 435 nt
Filed under: uncultured bacterium
Lineage: Bacteria
Description: bacterial SSU rRNA
Rfam family: Bacterial small subunit ribosomal RNA
Source: RNAcentral